GUGCUGGCUUUGGCAGCACAUUUACUAAAAUUGGAAUGAUACAGAGAAGAUUAGCAUGGCCCCUGGGCAAGGAUGACACGCAAAUUCGUGAGGCUUACUGCUACUUG
RNAcentral lists this small nuclear RNA (107 nucleotides) under Peromyscus maniculatus bairdii (prairie deer mouse). Lineage: Eukaryota; Metazoa; Chordata; Mammalia; Rodentia; Cricetidae. The record is from RNAcentral.